GACGAACGCUGGCGGCGUGCUUAACACAUGCAAGUCGAGCGGAAAGGCCACUUCGGUGGUACUCGAGCGGCGAACGGGUGAGUAACACGUGAGUAAUCUGCCCCUGGCUUUGGGAUAGCCACCGGAAACGGUGAUUAAUACCGGAUACGACCACUUCUCGCAUGGGAUGGUGGUGGAAAGUUUUUUCGGCCAGGGAUGUGCUCGCGGCCUAUCAGCUUGAUGGUGAGGUAAUGGCUCCCCAUGGCUUCGACGGGUAGCCGGCCUGAGAGGGUGCCCGGUCACACCGGGACUGAGACACGGCCCAGACUCCUACGGGAGGCAGCAGUGGGGAAUAUUGGACAAUGGGCGGAAGCCUGAUCCAGCAACGCCGCGUGAGGGAUGACGGCCUUCGGGUUGUAAACCUCUUUCAGCAGGGACGAAGCGCAAGUGACGGUACCUGCAGAAGAAGCACCGGCCAACUACGUGCCAGCCGCCGCAGUAA
Molecule: ribosomal RNA, 481 nt
Filed under: uncultured bacterium
Lineage: Bacteria
Description: partial 16S ribosomal RNA
Rfam family: Bacterial small subunit ribosomal RNA
Source: RNAcentral